Molecule: ribosomal RNA, 477 nt
Filed under: uncultured bacterium
Lineage: Bacteria
Description: bacterial SSU rRNA
Rfam family: Bacterial small subunit ribosomal RNA
Source: RNAcentral
CGCUGGCGGCAUGCUUCAUACAUGCAAGUCGAACGAUAAGGUCUCUUCGGAGAUACAUAAGUGGCGGACGGGUGAGUAAUAUGUAGGAAAUCUGCCCUAGAGAGGGGGACAACAGAGGGAAACUUCUGCUAAUACCCCAUAUGAGCGUACCUGAAAUGGUAUUCUUGAAAACUCCGGUGCUCUAGGAUGAGCCUGCAUCUGAUUAGCUUGUUGGCGGUGUAAUGGACCACCAAGGCGACGAUCAGUAGCUGGUUUGAGAGGAUGAUCAGCCACAAUGGGACUGAGACACGGCCCAUACUCCUACGGGAGGCAGCAGUGGGGGAUAUUGCACAAUGGAGGAAACUCUGAUGCAGCGACGCCGCGUGAGUGAAAGAAGUAUUUCGGUAUGUAAAGCUCUAUCAGCAGGGAAGAAAGACUCGCAAGAGAGAUGACGGUACCUGACUAAGAAGCCCCGGCUAACUACGUGCCAGCAGCUGC